Molecule: transfer RNA, 72 nt
Filed under: Nothoprocta perdicaria
Lineage: Eukaryota; Metazoa; Chordata; Aves; Tinamiformes; Tinamidae
Also listed under: 2 other names
Rfam family: tRNA
About the family: Transfer RNA (tRNA) molecules are approximately 80 nucleotides in length. Their secondary structure includes four short double-helical elements and three loops (D, anti-codon, and T loops).
Source: Rfam by way of RNAcentral
GGGGAUGUAGCUCAGUGGGAGAGCGCUUGCUUUGCAUGUAAGAGGUCCUGGGUUCAAGCCCCAGCAUCUCCA